This 436-nucleotide long non-coding RNA is filed under the name Brassica napus (rape). RNAcentral's name for it is "long non-coding RNA (BNAP_LNC004763)". Lineage: Eukaryota; Viridiplantae; Streptophyta; Magnoliopsida; Brassicales; Brassicaceae. The record is from RNAcentral.
GGUCUUGUGAUCCCUGUCUCUAUCAGAUCCCACGAUUUCCUCGAUCUCAGCAGGUUCUCCAUCAGCAUCGCCCACUACUCGUAAUCACCAUCAAACUUCGGGAUACUCAGCAAUGAAUCUCUCUUACUCAUCUUUAUUUUGUCUCUCACCAGGUUCGUAUCAAGCUCAAAUACCACUUGUUAACUUUAGAAUGAUUAAAAGACCUCAAGAACAAGUAUAAUCUAAAAGUGUAGUUUAUUCAUCGUAGGAGAGAACAUCUAAAUAGACCAAACGUAUUACAAAGAGUGAACGAAACUGACUCCGGAAAUAACUCAACAAACUCAAUGUCCUAUAAUUCAGCUAGACUGAUUCAAACAAGACUUAGUUGUUUCUUCCAGCACACGUCUACUGCUGACGUUUAUUCAACAAGUUUGUUGCUUAUCAUAAACCCUCUUGA